RNAcentral lists this ribosomal RNA (427 nucleotides) under uncultured bacterium. RNAcentral's name for it is "bacterial SSU rRNA". It matches the Rfam family "Bacterial small subunit ribosomal RNA", at positions 356 to 773 of the family's 1533-position model. The record is from RNAcentral.
CGGGAAUUUUCCGCAAUGGACGAAAGUCUGACGGAGCAACGCCGCGUGAGUGAGGACGGCCUUCGGGUUGUAAAACUCUGUUCUCUCGGAAGAGCAUCACGGAGCUGAAUAGGCUCUGUGGUUCGACGGUACGAGAGGAGAAAGCCCCGGCUAACUACGUGCCAGCAGCCGCGGUAAUACGUAGGGGGCAAGCGUUGUCCGGAUUUAUUGGGCGUAAAGGGCGCGCAGGCGGCCUCUUAAGUCAGUUGUGAAAGGUCUCGGCUCAACCGAGGAGUUGCAGCUGAAACUGGGAGGCUCGAGUGCAGGAGAGGAGAGUGGAAUUCUCGGUGUAGCGGUGGAAUGCGUAGAGAUCGGGAGGAACACCAGUGGCGAAGGCGACUCUCUGGCCUGCGACUGACGCUGAGGCGCGAAAGCGUGGGGAGCGAAC